This 1271-nucleotide long non-coding RNA is filed under the name Phasianus colchicus (ring-necked pheasant). Its description in RNAcentral is "lncRNA (ENSPCLG00000014054.1)". Lineage: Eukaryota; Metazoa; Chordata; Aves; Galliformes; Phasianidae. The record is from RNAcentral.
CCCAAGGUGCUGUUUUUCUGCCGGAGAACUCCCUACAGGCUUCCUCGCAGCUACAAACGCGCAACUUUUGCUCGGUUUCCCCCCCCCGAUUCCGAUGCCGGGGCUGCUGCCCGGAGGAAACGCCGGGGCUCGCAGCGCCCGGGCUCCACCGGGGGAGGCUGCACCCGGAGGCGCCCGCGGUCGAACACCCGGCCCGGGCUGCACGGCGCGGGGCUCCCCGCCGCCUUCCCCGCUUCUCCGCGGUCUCCGUUCCGCACCCCCUCCCGCCUGCGGGCCCACAAAGCCGCUCACCUCGCCUCACCCCACGCCGCGCUCCGCUCCGCCGUUCAGCGGCCGCCGCCGAGUGAUGGAGCCGGGGAAGGACCCAGGUGCCGCCUCCCAGCGCCGGUGCGGGCUCGGGCCCCGCCCUCCUCCGCUUCCCUUCCUCCGGGUGGCCCCGGCGCGGCCCGGCGCUCUCCGCUCUCGCGGUGCCGUUGCGGACGGCCGCGGCGGUCCCGCUGCUGCGUCACGGUGCGGUCGCGCCGUGCUCCGAGGGCUCGGGGGCGGCCGCGAUGCGAGCGGCGGCGGUGUGGAAUAGCGCCCGGGGGUCUCUCCUUCACCCUAUCCCCCCACCCUUCCCUUUAUUUUCCGCCCCUUCCCCCGUUUUCCCUCCUUUCUCCGCCCUCUUCCCCUCCCAUUUCCCUCUUGCUCCCCCCUUUUCCUCCCCUUUUCCCCCUUUCCCCUUCCAUUUUUGCCAAUUUCUUUCCUUUUUACAUUAUUUUCAUUUUUUUUUCUCUUUUUCUUCCCUUCCCCCGUUCUUCCUCCCUUUUCCCGUUUUCUUUUCUUUUUUUUCCCAUUCCAUUUUCCUUUCUUCCAUUUUUUUCCUUUUUUCCCCCCAUUCUUUUCUAUUUUUUUGCCAUUUUCCUUUUUUCUUCCUUUUUCCUCCCUUUCCUCCUUUUUUUUCCUUUCAUUUUCUGCACUUCUCCCUUUCCUUUCUUCCAUCUGUUACUCCCACCGCCCCUCCAUCCCCAGCCCCCUUUUCCUCCCUCUCUCCUGCUUCCCCCCUGCCCCUUAUCCCCACUGCUUCUCUGCCCGAUGCCGCAGGUGCCGUCUGCCCGCGGCGCUGAGGGGAUCUCCGCGUUGCUCGCUGCCGUUCCGCCUAACCCCACUCCCCUCACAUCCUCCUCUCGCACGUCGGUUUUCGCAGCGUGUAGGAAGGAAGCCUGGAUGAGACCUGCUGAAAAGCAAGACCACAAGAACGGGUACCUCUGAGAUACUUCUGGGAAUCUCUG